AUAGCAGCUUUGUUACAUUGAGACCAGUUCUCCUGUGAUCACCAAAGUUAAGGAAUGUUGAGCCUGUUCAGUACCUAGAUGGGUGACCACUUGGGAAUACCAUGUGCUGUAG
This is a non-coding RNA of Acanthosepion pharaonis, 112 nucleotides long. Lineage: Eukaryota; Metazoa; Mollusca; Cephalopoda; Sepiida; Sepiidae. The record is from the annotation of a GenBank genome assembly.